AACAAGGUUUCCGUAGGUGAACCUGCGGAAGGAUCAUUGUCGUAACCUGCGAAAGCAAAGCAACUCGCGAACACGUAGUCAACACUCGGGGAUUCGAGCGCGUCCUCCCCGGGGGACGCCCUUUCUCCCCAAAGUCGGGGCGGCCCGGCGCUCGCAGGCGGCGCGAUUGUCGCGAGCUAACGGCCUCCGGGCCCUCCCGACGCAACAAAAAACCGGCGCGGAAUGCGCCAAGGAAUAUGAAAGAGAGUGCGCUCUUUCGGCGUCAGCUCGCGCUGCGCUCGGACGGGCGUCGUCUUCUUGAUGAGUUUAUAAUGACUCUCGGCAACGGAUAUCUCGGCUCUUACAUCGAUGAAGAACGUAGCAAAAUGCGAUACUUGGUGUGAAUUGCAGAAUCCCGUGAACCAUCGAGUCUUUGAACGCAAGUUGCGCCCGAAUCCAUCUGGUUGAGGGCACGUCUGCCUGGGUGUCACGUACACGCGCCUCCCGCGAACCUUCCCCUUUAUGCGGACGAAUGGUCUCGCGGGAGCAGAUAUUGGUAUCCCGUGCCUGUUUUGCGCGGCUUGCCUAAAAACGGAGAUCCGGCGACGAAACGUCGCGUCUAGUGGUGGUUUAUGAGGCCUAACGGCCGAACCAGUUCGCGGCGCGAUCGUUUGUCGCAAGAAAGUCUCCCACGACACCUCGGACGCCCCCUAACGGGCGUGCCACUGUCGCGACCCCA
Molecule: unclassified non-coding RNA, 718 nt
Filed under: Saxifraga alberti
Lineage: Eukaryota; Viridiplantae; Streptophyta; Magnoliopsida; Saxifragales; Saxifragaceae
Description: sequence contains ITS1, 5.8S rRNA gene, ITS2
Rfam family: 5.8S ribosomal RNA (bases 314-469)
Source: RNAcentral